ACGCACGCUGGCGGCGUGCUUAACCCCUGCCAGUCGUACGGUAAGGCCCUUUCGGGGGUACCCGAGUGGCGAACGGGUGAGUAACACGUGAGUAACCUGCCCACAACUUUGGGAUAACGCUAGGAAACUGGUGCUAAUACUGGAUAUGUGCUCCUGCUGCAUGGUGGGGGUUGGAAAGCUCCGGCGGUUGUGGAUGGACUCGCGGCCUAUCAGCUUGUUGGUGGGGUAGUGGCCUACCAAGGCGGCGACGGGUAGCCGGCCUGAGAGGGUGACCGGCCACAUUGGGACUGAGAUACGGCCCAGACUCCUACGGGAGGCAGCAGUGGGGAAUAUUGCACAAUGGGCGCAAGCCUGAUGCAGCAACGCCGCGUGCGGGAUGACGGCCUUCGGGUUGUAAACCGCUUUCAGCAGGGACGAAGCUUUUUGUGACGGUACCUGCAGAAGAAGCACCGGCUAACUACGUG
RNAcentral lists this ribosomal RNA (464 nucleotides) under uncultured bacterium. Its description in RNAcentral is "partial 16S ribosomal RNA". It matches the Rfam family "Bacterial small subunit ribosomal RNA", at positions 29 to 507 of the family's 1533-position model. The record is from RNAcentral.